Molecule: transfer RNA, 72 nt
Filed under: Ornithorhynchus anatinus (platypus)
Lineage: Eukaryota; Metazoa; Chordata; Mammalia; Monotremata; Ornithorhynchidae
Rfam family: tRNA
About the family: Transfer RNA (tRNA) molecules are approximately 80 nucleotides in length. Their secondary structure includes four short double-helical elements and three loops (D, anti-codon, and T loops).
Source: Rfam by way of RNAcentral
AGCAGUGUGGCCUAGUGAAAAGAGCAUGGCCCUGUGAGUCACAGGACCUGGGUUCUAAUCCCAGCUCUGCGA